Molecule: ribosomal RNA, 433 nt
Filed under: uncultured bacterium
Lineage: Bacteria
Description: partial 16S ribosomal RNA
Rfam family: Bacterial small subunit ribosomal RNA
Source: RNAcentral
AACGAACGCUGGCGGCAGGCCUAACACAUGCCAGUCGAGCGAGCAUUUCGGUGCUAGCGGCGGACGGGUGAGUAACGCGUGGGAACGUGCCCUUUUCUGCGGAAUAGUCCUGGGAAACUGGGGGUAAUACCGCAUACGCCCUUUUGGGGAAAGAUUUAUCGGAGAAGGAUCGGCCCGCGUUGGAUUAGGUAGUUGGUGGGGUAAUGGCCCACCAAGCCGACGAUCCAUAGCUGGUUUGAGAGGAUGAUCAGCCACACUGGGACUGAGACACGGCCCAGACUCCUACGGGAGGCAGCAGUGGGGAAUAUUGGACAAUGGGCGCAAGCCUGAUCCAGCAAUGCCGCGUGAGUGAUGAAGGCCUUAGGGUUGUAAAGCUCUUUUACCCGGGAUGAUAAUGACAGUACCGGGAGAAUAAGCUCCGGCUAACUCCGUG